Molecule: ribosomal RNA, 597 nt
Filed under: uncultured bacterium
Lineage: Bacteria
Description: bacterial SSU rRNA
Rfam family: Bacterial small subunit ribosomal RNA (bases 1-525)
Source: RNAcentral
CCUACGGGAGGCAGCAGUGGGGAAUAUUGCACAAUGGGCGCAAGCCUGAUGCAGCGACGCCGCGUGAGGGAUGACGGCCUUCGGGUUGUAAACCUCUUUCAGUAGGGAAGAAGCGAAAGUGACGGUACCUGCAGAAGAAGCGCCGGCUAACUACGUGCCAGCAGCCGCGGUAAUACGUAGGGCGCAAGCGUUAUCCGGAAUUAUUGGGCGUAAAGAGCUCGUAGGCGGUUUGUCGCGUCUGCCGUGAAAGUCCGGGGCUCAACUCCGGAUCUGCGGUGGGUACGGGCAGACUAGAGUGAUGUAGGGGAGACUGGAAUUCCUGGUGUAGCGGUGAAAUGCGCAGAUAUCAGGAGGAACACCGAUGGCGAAGGCAGGUCUCUGGGCAUUAACUGACGCUGAGGAGCGAAAGCAUGGGGAGCGAACAGGAUUAGAUACCCUGGUAGUCCAUGCCGUAAACGUUGGGCACUAGGUGUGGGGGACAUUCCACGUUUUCCGCGCCGUAGCUAACGCAUUAAGUGCCCCGCCUGGGGNGGUACGCGCGAGACGAACACAAGAGUAGUAGCGNGNGAGACGCGACGACGACGACGACGGAGGAGG